Molecule: ribosomal RNA, 380 nt
Filed under: uncultured eukaryote
Lineage: Eukaryota
Description: partial 18S ribosomal RNA
Rfam family: Eukaryotic small subunit ribosomal RNA
Source: RNAcentral
CAAUAGCGUAUAUUUAAGUUGUUGCGGUUAAAAAGCUCGUAGUUGGAUUUCGGGCGUGGAGGUUCGGUCCGCCGUUUCGGUGUGCACUGUCUUUCUGCGUCUUUCUGUCGGGGACGCGCUUCUGGCCUUAAUUGGCUGGGACGUGGAUUCGACGAGGUUACUUUGAAAAAAUUAGAGUGUUCAAAGCAAGCUAAAGCUCUGAAUACAUUAGCAUGGAAUAACGCGAGAGGACUCGGUCCUUAUUUUGUUGGUCUUCAAGGAUGGAGUAAUGAUUAAGAGGGACAGUUGGGGGCAUUCGUAUUUCAUUGCUAGAGGUGAAAUUCUUGGAUUUAUGAAAGACGAACUUCUGCGAAAGCAUUUGCCAAGGAUGUUUUCAUUGA